UGACCUCGGAUCAGGUAGGGAUACCCGCUGAACUUAAGCAUAUCAAUAAGGCGGAGGA
RNAcentral lists this ribosomal RNA (58 nucleotides) under Umbilicaria arctica. Its description in RNAcentral is "partial 28S ribosomal RNA". The record is from RNAcentral. Lineage: Eukaryota; Fungi; Ascomycota; Lecanoromycetes; Umbilicariales; Umbilicariaceae. RNAcentral also lists the same sequence under 1 other name.